RNAcentral lists this ribosomal RNA (465 nucleotides) under Vreelandella stevensii. RNAcentral's name for it is "partial 16S ribosomal RNA". It matches the Rfam family "Bacterial small subunit ribosomal RNA", at positions 338 to 795 of the family's 1533-position model. Lineage: Bacteria; Pseudomonadati; Pseudomonadota; Gammaproteobacteria; Oceanospirillales; Halomonadaceae. The record is from RNAcentral.
CCUACGGGUGGCAGCAGUGGGGAAUAUUGGACAAUGGGCGAAAGCCUGAUCCAGCCAUGCCGCGUGUGUGAAGAAGGCCUUCGGGUUGUAAAGCACUUUCAGUGGGGAAGAAAGCCUUGGGGCUAAUACCCUCGAGGAAGGACAUCACCCACAGAAGAAGCACCGGCUAACUCCGUGCCAGCAGCCGCGGUAAUACGGAGGGUGCGAGCGUUAAUCGGAAUUACUGGGCGUAAAGCGCGCGUAGGCGGUCUGAUAAGCCGGUUGUGAAAGCCCCGGGCUCAACCUGGGAACGGCAUCCGGAACUGUCAGGCUAGAGUGCAGGAGAGGAAGGCAGAAUUCCCGGUGUAGCGGUGAAAUGCGUAGAGAUCGGGAGGAAUACCAGUGGCGAAGGCGGCCUUCUGGACUGACACUGACGCUGAGGUGCGAAAGCGUGGGUAGCAAACAGGAUUAGAUACCCCAGUAGUC